Molecule: long non-coding RNA, 476 nt
Organism: Rana temporaria (common frog)
Lineage: Eukaryota; Metazoa; Chordata; Amphibia; Anura; Ranidae
Exons: 2
Source: RefSeq, a predicted model, not a curated record
AAUGUAUUUCUAGUCAAAGAUGCAGAUUUUAAAAUGCGUGAGCAAAAUAAAAAAAAUGCUGCCCAGCCAAAAUCAGGUGACUGCAGAGGGUGUAAAAAUAGAGAUAAAAUAUUUAUUAUUGAUUCAGUUUUGAUUGAAGUAUAAUGUGUGUGUCAUAAUGUAUGAAAUAUAACCAAAAAAUGAGCUACAGGACAGAGGGCAAAAUAUUAACACAUAACAUGGGAUGCAGUUAAUAAAAUCACCACAAGAUGGCGAUAUCACUUACUGCGCGAGGAUCGCUCAGACAGGAAGUGAUGUAAGAAAGCACAGGAAGUGAUGGAAAGUAGGAACAGGAAAUGAUGUAUGACAAAGAAAUGGCGUUUUAUAAGGUAAAGACAGGAAGUUUUGGGAGAGAUAGAAAUACGAGUAGUGAAGAGACAUCGAUGGAUUACACCGGAGAGGAUUAAUGAAGUAGUGAAGAGGACACUUGAGCAGUU